AGCAGUAGCCGCGGGAAUACAGAGGGUGCGAGCGUUAAUCGGAUUUACUGGGCGUAAAGCGUGCGUAGGCGGCUUCUUAAGUCGGAUGUGAAAUCCCUGAGCUUAACUUAGGAAUUGCAUUCGAUACUGGGAAGCUAGAGUAUGGGAGAGGAUGGUAGAAUUCCAGGUGUAGCGGUGAAAUGCGUAGAGAUCUGGAGGAAUACCGAUGGCGAAGGCAGCCAUCUGGCCUAACACUGACGCUGAGGUACGAAAGCAUGGGGAGCAAACAGGAUUAGAUACCCCAGUAGUCCCUGUCUCUUAUAC
Molecule: ribosomal RNA, 303 nt
Filed under: uncultured bacterium
Lineage: Bacteria
Description: partial 16S ribosomal RNA
Rfam family: Bacterial small subunit ribosomal RNA
Source: RNAcentral